GGGUUUUUCUCUCUUAUCUAAGAUUGAUCCUUAUCUUGUAAAAAGGAAGUGUAGUUCAUGAGGGACUUGUAAUUUGAGGUUGCUCUUCUAUAAGAGGACCCUCAAAGGGGAGGGGCUGGUAUCAGGUAGAGCUGGAGAGACCAGGAGAGCUUAUUGUAAUCAGUUGAGUGGUUAUUCAAUAAAGUUCUCUUUCCCUGUAUUUCUCCUUCUCCUUCGUGGUAUUUUCUGGUGUCGUGCUUCGCUGCAUUAUUGUUGUUAGGCGUGACCUAAGUCAUAAAGACUAGGUUCCCAUGCCAGGAAGGCUGAUCGAUUCUCUUCGGUAGAUCGAGCCGCACGUUGUUGGGAUCUGCUCUGAGAUCCCUUCGUACGUGACACUUGGUAUCAGAGCCAUACAAGAAAUGAAGGAGACGACCUCUACAGCAGCUUCCAUGGUGGGAACUGGGGAUGCAUCAUCCUCGACCGUGGAUCCCAAUCCAGCCUCAGGAGGAGGUACGGCGAUGGGUGGAACACAUCCAGUUGAUGAUUCCCUGCAUGGGUUACGCAUUGCAUCUCCGGUUAUCUCCGCCGACAAUCGAUUUCGAAGGUGUGAGGCCCAAAUAGCUGAGGUUGAAGGGCAAAUGGAGGACCUUGAGGGUAGGGAUGCAACCCUCCAAGGUGAGAUCGCCGCUCAGCUAAACCAGAUUUUCUUCGAUAU
Molecule: long non-coding RNA, 694 nt
Filed under: Phoenix dactylifera (date palm)
Lineage: Eukaryota; Viridiplantae; Streptophyta; Magnoliopsida; Arecales; Arecaceae
Description: long non-coding RNA (PDAC_LNC017261)
Source: RNAcentral